RNAcentral lists this unclassified non-coding RNA (339 nucleotides) under soil metagenome. Its description in RNAcentral is "partial contains 5.8S ribosomal RNA, internal transcribed spacer 2, and large subunit ribosomal RNA". The stretch from base 1 to 120 matches the Rfam family "5.8S ribosomal RNA", at positions 35 to 154 of the family's 154-position model. The record is from RNAcentral.
GAUGAAGAACGUAGCAAAAUGCGAUAAGUAAUGUGAAUUGCAGAAUUCAGUGAAUCAUCGAAUCUUUGAACGCACAUUGCGCCCCUCGGUAUUCCGUGGGGCAUGUCUGUUCGAGCGUCAUUUAACCCCUCAAGCCUAGCUUGGUAUUGGGUGCUUGUCCCGCCUCUCGCGCGGCGACUCACCUCAAAGUCAUUGGCAGCCCGCAUCUCGCCGGCCGUGAGCGCAGCACAGACGCGCUCUUGGCAACGACGGAUCGGCUCUCCAAAAGCUUAUUUCAACCACUGACCUCGGAUCAGGUAGGGAUACCCGCUGAACUUAAGCAUAUCAAUAAGCGGAGGA